AUCAAUGCAUUUGUAUACUAGGGGCAGGUCUUAGCCUGUCCCUAUGCCCUUUCACUCUAGGGAUCUCUACAUCCUCCUCUUUCCCACUCCACCUGAGCCACCUACGCCUCUUUGGGGGACCCUUGUGCCAAGAAACCUACCUUAAUCCAGAUCAAGUGAAUGAAGCCUGGGAUUCUGGAUCUCAAGGGUUCCCCCAAAGCCUCUGUCUUCCUUCUGUAGCUGAGCUGCUUCAGCCUCUGUGGGACACCCAUUUGAAGGAACCUGUCUAAAUCCAUGUAAGGUGAGUCAUGGCUGGGGAGGAAGGCUGCUGAUGAAAGGCUUACUGUCCUAACUUAAAUAGGAGGGUUGCUUCUUUCAGGGAGUUGGAUAAAGUUGCGUUUGGUGACUAGCCUGGCUGACUGUGAGAUUGUCACUCCAUCAUAUGUAGUGCAUCUGAGGGGGUCUAGAGGGAUGCGGGCAUGAAAAUCACAUUAGCAAGAGCCCCAGGGCA
RNAcentral lists this long non-coding RNA (490 nucleotides) under Sus scrofa (pig). RNAcentral describes it as "lncRNA (ENSSSCG00035023684.1)". Lineage: Eukaryota; Metazoa; Chordata; Mammalia; Artiodactyla; Suidae. The record is from RNAcentral.